CCUACGGGAGGCAGCAGUGGGGAAUAUUGCACAAUGGGGGAAACCCUGAUGCAGCGACGCCGCGUGAGUGAAGAAGUAAUUCGUUAUGUAAAGCUCUAUCAGCAGGGAAGAAAAUGACGGUACCUGAGUAAGAAGCCCCGGCUAACUACGUGCCAGCAGCCGCGGUAAUACGUAGGGGGCAAGCGUUAUCCGGAUUUACUGGGUGUAAAGGGGGCGCAGACGGCAGCGCAAGCCAGGAGUGAAAGCCCGGGGCCCAACCCCGGGACUGCUCUUGGAACUGCGCGGCUGGAGUGCAGGAGGGGCAGGCGGAAUUCCUGGUGUAGCGGUGAAAUGCGUAGAUAUCAGGAGGAACACCGGUGGCGAAGGCGGCCUGCUGGACUGCGACUGACGUUGAGGCCCGAAAGCGUGGGGAGCAAACAGGAUUAGAUACCCCUGUAGUC
This 440-nucleotide ribosomal RNA is filed under the name uncultured bacterium. Its description in RNAcentral is "partial 16S ribosomal RNA". It matches the Rfam family "Bacterial small subunit ribosomal RNA", at positions 338 to 795 of the family's 1533-position model. The record is from RNAcentral.